AGGGGAUGAGCAGAGAAGAAUCUCUUGUCCCCAGCAGCGGCCGGGAGGAGCGGUGUCCCCUCCCCUGGGGACGCAUCGCCCCCCGGAUUGUCACGGCGCAGAGGACCGCGAGCGUCCUGCGCCCCAGCACGUGUCCACCACGAGUUGAUGUCCUUGUCCCCAUGUCACUGCCCAGCCACCAGCGAGGGAUGGGGCUCACUGAGGGUGUCCCCGGUUCCGAGAGCCCCCGCAGAGCCGUGGUGGCAUCAGGCAGCUCUGGUGGCAUCGCGCUGCAGAACGCCCCAGCAGAGGGAACAGUGCGGCACCCUCGCCCCCUGUGCCCCCGUUGUGCCCCCAGCCCCACUCUCCGGCAUCAUGCAGCCGGCUGCCACCUCCCUGCUGCCCCUCACCAUGACCCUACAGAAGGGACACAGCCCCCUCCAGCAUCCCCUCGGGGUCCUGGCCCCAUCCAGACUCAGUCUCUCAAAACUCAGCCAAAAUCAGGAGGGGAUUUCGGCGCAUCCCCGCGACCUGAGGGACCGCAGCCCUCCAACGGCCCUGCGGGUUCAGCAAUGCCCAAAAACCCCUCACAGGACCACCCCUCAACGAACCAGGACAAAAACCACGCAGGCAUUUCUAACGGGAGCGGGCAAUUAGCCACGGGAACAGCCCAGGCCCUUCGAUCACAAGCAGAGGCUACGGGCUCACUGCGGAGCUCCUCUUCCUCCUGCCCCAAGCAGCGGCUUCCCCAGGGGCGCAGCACCAAGCCCGGCACCCCCAGCACCUCCACGGCCCCCGGGCAGCCCGAGCACCCCGGGGGCUCUUCCAGCUUUCCCUGGUGCCUCGCGAUGUCCCUGGAGAAGGCGGAGGCAGCUGCCGUGGUGCCCGGCUCCAAGUACAAAGCAGCGCGGCGUUUCUCACGGCAGCUGGAGGAGCGAGGGGCUUGGCCGCUCCGGCGGGGAAGAAAGGGAAUUUUUUUUUUUUUUUUUUUUUAUUGUUGGUGGUGUUCAAAAAGAAGAGUUUGCCUGGCAGAGCGAGGAGCCGGUUCGGCAGCACGGGGGCUCAGGUGGAGCUGGAAAUGGUUGCCUUGUCUGCGGGAGGAGAAGCGGCUUCGCCUUACCCAGCCUCUGCGAGCCAGCAGAGCAACCGC
Molecule: long non-coding RNA, 1129 nt
Filed under: Anas platyrhynchos platyrhynchos (common mallard)
Lineage: Eukaryota; Metazoa; Chordata; Aves; Anseriformes; Anatidae
Description: lncRNA (ENSAPLG00000018764.1)
Source: RNAcentral